CCAACGGUCGCUGAGUUAGAGCUUAACAGCGUAAAUCCGUCGCCUGACAUGUUCGAAGAGG
RNAcentral lists this non-coding RNA (61 nucleotides) under unclassified sequences. Its description in RNAcentral is "cow-rumen-1 RNA". It matches the Rfam family "cow-rumen-1 RNA". From Rfam's summary of the family: cow rumen metagenome. The record is from Rfam by way of RNAcentral.